GACGAACGCUGGCGGCGUGCUUAACACAUGCAAGUCGAGCGGCGCGGCGAACGGGUGAGUAACGCGUGAGUAACUGCCCCCCUCUCUGGGAUAACAGUUGGCAACGGCUGCUAAUACCGGCUAGUGGGGGAUGACUCGCGUCCUAUGAGCUUGUGGGUGGGGGAGUGGCUGACCAAGGCGACGAAGGGUAGCCGGCCUGAGAGGGCGACCGGGCACAAUGGGCUGAGAGACGGCCCAAACGCCUACGGGAGGCAGCAGUGGGGAAUAUGGCACAAUGGGGGAAACCGUGAUGCAGCAACGCCGCGUUCGGGAUGACGGCCUUCGGGUUGUAAACCGCUUUCAGCCAUGACGCGGUAGUGGCAGAAGAAGCACCGGCUAACUACGUGCCAGCAGCCGCGGUAAUAC
Molecule: ribosomal RNA, 405 nt
Filed under: uncultured bacterium
Lineage: Bacteria
Description: partial 16S ribosomal RNA
Rfam family: Bacterial small subunit ribosomal RNA
Source: RNAcentral